RNAcentral lists this ribosomal RNA (646 nucleotides) under Fluviopupa pentecostata. RNAcentral describes it as "partial 16S ribosomal RNA". It matches the Rfam family "Bacterial large subunit ribosomal RNA", at positions 1817 to 2795 of the family's 2925-position model. Lineage: Eukaryota; Metazoa; Mollusca; Gastropoda; Littorinimorpha; Tateidae. The record is from RNAcentral.
CGCUCUUUGAUAUAAAGAUAUAAAGAGUCGAGCCUGCCCAGUGAUAUAUAUAUUUAACGGCCGCGGUACUCUGACCGUGCAAAGGUAGCAUAAUCAUUUGCCUUAUAAUUGAAGGCUAGUAUGAAUGGUUUGACGAAAACAAGACUGUCUCUUUUUAAUUUUAUAAAACUUGAUUUUUAGGUGAAGAAGCCUAAAUACAAUUGAAAGACAAGAAGACCCUAUCGAGCUUAAAAAAAUUUUAUUAAUAUAAAAUGACUACAAAAGAUCAGCCAUAAUAAAAAAUUUUAGUUGGGGCGACUAAGGAACAAACAAAGCUUCCUUUAUUUAUUAAAAGCUUUUAGCUAUGAUCCAAAACUUUUGAUUAAAAAAAUUAGUUACCGUAGGGAUAACAGCAUAAUCUUUUUUGAGAGUUCCUAUCGAAAAAAAGGUUUGUGACCUCGAUGUUGGACUAGAAUAUCCUAAAUGAUGCAGAAGUCUUUAAGGGUUGGUCUGUUCGACCACUAAUAUUCUACAUGAUCUGAGUUCAGACCGGCGUGAGCCAGGUCAGUUUCUAUCUUCAAUUAAAUGUUUUUAACCUAGUACGAAAGGAUCGGGUAAAAAUAAAGAUUAUUAAAAAAGAUUUAGUAUAAAAACAAAUUAAAAUUUU